UACGAAGGACCCGAGCGUUAUCCGGAUUUAUUGGGUUUAAAGGGUGCGUAGGCGUCUUGGAAAGUUACGGUUGAAAUCUCCUUGCUCAACAAGGAAACUGGCCGUAAAACUAUCAGGAUUGAGUACAUUUGAAGCGGGCGGAAUGUGUCAUGUAGCGGUGAAAUGCUUAGAUAUGACACAGAACACCAAUUGCGAAGGCAGCUCGCUAAACUGUAACUGACGCUGAGGCACGAAAGCGUGGGGAUCAAACAGG
This 253-nucleotide ribosomal RNA is filed under the name uncultured bacterium. Its description in RNAcentral is "partial 16S ribosomal RNA". It matches the Rfam family "Bacterial small subunit ribosomal RNA", at positions 524 to 776 of the family's 1533-position model. The record is from RNAcentral.